This 1440-nucleotide long non-coding RNA is filed under the name Gopherus agassizii (Agassiz's desert tortoise). RNAcentral's name for it is "lncRNA (ENSGAGG00000021316.1)". Lineage: Eukaryota; Metazoa; Chordata; Testudines; Testudinidae. The record is from RNAcentral.
UUGGCUUCUGUGGUCAUCACUCAAAAUCCAAAGAAGUAGCUGUAAGGAGAGAUCUCUCUACGAACAGUCAGUCAACCUUGCAAACAGGGAUGACUCUUACUGUUGGGCACCACCAAGAUAAAACUACCACAAUGAAAGACAAGGAGAAGUACAAAUUGCCUAUCGCUUCUCCAGCGAUUGAAAAUGAUUAUCCUAGAAUUGAAGAAAACAAUACAAAUAACCACUCAGCGGAAGAUUUCUCUAUUGACAAAUCACAGAAUAUGGAUGUCGUACUUGCAGAAGUGGAGUCCUCCUCUUGUGGCUUAGAUAGUUCUCUGACAAAUCAAGCCUCAGAGACAAUGAUAGCAAAUAGUAUGGACAGAGACCUGUCAAAUAAGAGUUCACAGCAAUUAAAUGGGAUAAGGAGAAAACUGGCAGAAGAAAAAUCUAAGAAUGCUGUAGUCAAUUUGACGGAGAGGCUGAGAAGAGACCUUUUAAAUCUAUUAGACCCCAAAGAACUUAGCAAACCAUUAAGACACACAGGAGAAUCUGUUCUAACUGGAACAAAUGUUACGGAUACUAGUGCACGGUUUCAUAAUCCAGGAGGUGUCAUUUCAAAACAAAAGCACCAGGUGACAGAAAGCUUUCUAAUCCAGGCUGGCUUAUGUCAUAGACAAGAGACAGAUACAACCAGUCAUUGGGGAAGGAAAUGGACUAGUGGCCUGUCUGACAAAAAUCAGCUGCCAAAUGAAAGUGUCUCACCCAGGGCACAGGAACAAGAAACAAACACAGAAAGCUUUAUGCAAAGAUAUAAGAAAGAGUGUAUGGACCCUAAAAUAGACGAGAGUUUCAUUUUCACGACUUCUCCAGUAAAGGACAUCGCAACAACCAGCCUUCCAGCGUUGAAUAUGAUCAGCAGUGAAAAUGGAUUACAAACAGGAUAUGUGACUUUACAAAGCUGUAUCGCUCACGAUGUGUCCCAUGAUCAGAGGGAUCGCGAUCAGCAACAACCAUGUGGGGAACAAAGAGUUAAUAUUACAAGUAACAACAACAUUUUUAAAAUCUCUUUCUGAAGCAUUAGGGAUGGCCACAGCUGGAGAUGGGACAUUGGACAGGGAGGGGCAGGGCUCUGAGGUGGCACUGAGCACUCUCUCUCUCUUUCUCUCUCAGGUGCUUAUCUGACUGGUUCUUGCUCGCAUGUUCAAGGUCUAACUGAUCAUCAUAUGUGGGUCAGGAAGGAAUAUUUCCCCAGGUCAGACUGGCAGUAACCUUUGGGGAGGAUGGGAGAGAGAGAGGGGUCACCUUUCUCUGCUGCGUGUGAGCGCAGGUCACUUACCAGGAUUAUCUGCAUAUAUCUCAUGUAAUCAUUUUCCUGCCAUUGUGGGGGCCUCAAGCAUUGGUUCACCUCAGUCCUUCCUAUUCUCUGCCUGCGGCACAUAAGUCUAAUCUCCUGUGGGCUGU